Molecule: long non-coding RNA, 1238 nt
Organism: Quercus robur (English oak)
Lineage: Eukaryota; Viridiplantae; Streptophyta; Magnoliopsida; Fagales; Fagaceae
Exons: 6
Source: RefSeq, a predicted model, not a curated record
UCAACUAAUGAUUUUUUUGUGAUCUUUGAAUCACCAGGAGAAGCAGCGCUAGUGCUUUGUCUGGUCAGUAGAAAGUCGAUGAAUUCUUUUCCGUAAGGUUGAAGCUCUUUAGUUUAGUACUAUUAUUAUGUUGUUUUGGUUUAUAGUACUGUGGAAACCUCUCUCAUUUUAUAUCUACAUUUCUUGUGAAUCCUUUUCAGGAUGUUGAACUAUAUAUACAAAAAGUAACACCCUAGUGAAGAACCUAGUGGAAAAACUUCAUUUUGUCUUUCUUUUUUGGCAAAACCCAUCCCAACUGUCUUCAUCUAACAAGACAUGUUGAUUGAAUAUAUGCAGCUUUUGACUUAACAUCAGAAGAAGGCUCUGGCUGUGUGGACUGAAGUUGGAAUAUUGUGGCAGGUGCUGUUGAAUGAACAGCCCUCAGGCUGCACAAAAACGAUUAUAGAAUGGCCUGUUUUACAUACCUUUAUUUCUCUGACUACUUAAUUGCAGAAUCAUGGUUUCAGUUUUGCUCUUUGCAGUUCUUGGUACUUGAUUAUUUUGUUUGAUCAUCUAUUUGGAGUGCAAAAGUUGAGACAUCUAAUAGGCAUGAAGGGGAGGCGAAUAAGAGAUUAAUAAAUAGUCAAGAUCUUGGCAAAUUCCAUUUGGUGAUUCUGAUCCUUAGUAGAAAUGGGAGGGUAACACAACAUCAAUAAGGAUUGUGAAUCUUAUGUUGAUCUUCAUCCAGCAGCAUAGAAGUGAAAAUCUAGCACUGAAAACUACAUACAUCAGAUCUCAGUGUUGGGCUAUAUCUGAACAUUAGUAUGCUAUUAUGAUGUCUGAUGAUCAAUCAAUUUCAGGACUCAUACGUUAGAAUUUUGAAAACUAUUUCAUGACUUGUGCAAAUAUGGAACCUGUGGACUUAGAAAGAGUAAACAAUGUUGGCUGACUAAAGGUUUUGUGAGCCGGUCUAGCAAGACACAGAGGAUGCUUUACUUCUGGAACUAAAAAUAUCCGGGUACAUUUGAUUCCAUCCUCGAUGUUAUUAGUCGUCCUGAGAACAAUACUAUCGCUUUUGUCUCUGGAGAAUGCUAGUUUAGUAGGGUUCAGUUCUGUUUAAUGGUACAACUUUGUAAGACCUUAUUAAGGCCUCUGGUGUAAUGUUAAGAAUUGGGUACUUUCUUUAUUUAGUUAAAGAUUCUAAACCAAGAAAUUUCAUUCUUUCUGGAUUAAUUUCAUUUGGUUGGUUUUGCAUCAUA